RNAcentral lists this ribosomal RNA (484 nucleotides) under uncultured bacterium. Its description in RNAcentral is "bacterial SSU rRNA". It matches the Rfam family "Bacterial small subunit ribosomal RNA", at positions 28 to 507 of the family's 1533-position model. The record is from RNAcentral.
GAUGAACGCUAGCGGCAGGCCUAACACAUGCAAGUCGAGGGGCAGCACAGGUAGCAAUACUGGGUGGCGACCGGCGGAUGGGUGCGUAACGCGUAUGCAACCUACCAUUGAUUGGGGCAUAGCCCGAAGAAAUUCGGAUUAAUACUCCAUAAUAUUCAUCAAAGGCAUCUUUUAUGAAUUAAAGCUUUUGCGAUCAAUGAUGGGCAUGCGUGACAUUAGUUAGUUGGUGAGGUAACGGCUCACCGAAAACGAUGAUGUCUAGGGGUUCUGAGAGGAUUAUCCCCCACACUGGUACUGAGACACGGACCAGACUCCUACGGGAGGCAGCAGUGAGGAAUAUUGGUCAAUGGACGCAAGUCUGAACCAGCCAUGCCGCGUGCAGGAUGACGGCCCUAUGGGUUGUAAACUGCUUUUCCACGGGAAGAACCCUCCGACGUGUCGGAGACUGACGGUACCGUGGGAAUAAGCAUCGGCUAACUCCGUG